RNAcentral lists this transfer RNA (71 nucleotides) under Luciosoma setigerum. Its description in RNAcentral is "tRNA-Ser". It matches the Rfam family "tRNA". Rfam says of the family: Transfer RNA (tRNA) molecules are approximately 80 nucleotides in length. Their secondary structure includes four short double-helical elements and three loops (D, anti-codon, and T loops). Lineage: Eukaryota; Metazoa; Chordata; Actinopteri; Cypriniformes; Danionidae. The record is from RNAcentral.
AAGGAAGUGGCAGAGUGGUUAUGCGACUGGCUUGAAACUAGUACAUGGGGGUUCAAUUCCCUCCUUCCUCG